GAUGAACGCUAGCUACAGGCUUAACACAUGCAAGUCGCGGGGCAGCAUGGGGGUUGCUUGCAAUCCCCGAUGGCGACCGGCGCACGGGUGAGUAACGCGUAUCCAACCUGCCCUUCACCACGGGAUAACCCGGCGAAAGUCGGACUAAUACCGUAUGUUGUCCAUUGACGGCAUCCGAUUUGGACGAAAGGCUUGGCGGUGAGGGAUGGGGAUGCGUCCGAUUAGCCAGACGGCGGGGUAACGGCCCACCGUGGCUACGAUCGGUAGGGGUUCUGAGAGGAAGGUCCCCCACACUGGAACUGAGACACGGUCCAGACUCCUACGGGAGGCAGCAGUGAGGAAUAUUGGUCAAUGGGCGUAAGCCUGAACCAGCCAAGUAGCGUGCAGGAGGACGGCCCUACGGGUUGUAAACUGCUUUUAUGCGGGGAUAAAGUGGCCCACGUGUGGGCUUUUGCAGGUACCGCAUGAAUAAGGACCGGCUAAUUCCGUG
RNAcentral lists this ribosomal RNA (490 nucleotides) under uncultured bacterium. Its description in RNAcentral is "partial 16S ribosomal RNA". It matches the Rfam family "Bacterial small subunit ribosomal RNA", at positions 28 to 507 of the family's 1533-position model. The record is from RNAcentral.